AAUAGCGUGUUUGCGUUGGGCGAACAUAUCCGAUUUCCGGUCCGCCCCCUAUACGUCAUCAUUAAGUAAACUUUGACCCGGAACCUCACAGCCAGCAGACACAUCACUUCCCUCCCAGGAAGUGUCUGCUGACUGUGAGGUUCCGGGUCAAAGUUUACUUAAUGAUGACGUAUAGGGGGCGGACCGGAAAUCGGAUAUGUUCGCCCAACGCAAACACGCUAUU
This is a non-coding RNA of Pelobates cultripes (western spadefoot toad), 223 nucleotides long. The record is from the annotation of a GenBank genome assembly. Lineage: Eukaryota; Metazoa; Chordata; Amphibia; Anura; Pelobatidae.